Molecule: ribosomal RNA, 444 nt
Filed under: uncultured bacterium
Lineage: Bacteria
Description: bacterial SSU rRNA
Rfam family: Bacterial small subunit ribosomal RNA
Source: RNAcentral
UAAGGAAUAUUGGACAAUGGUCGCAAGACUGAUCCAGCCAUGCCGCGUGAAGGAUGAAGGCCCUAUGGGUUGUAAACUUCUUUUGUACGGGAAAAAACCCCUCUACGUGUAGAGGGCUGAUUGUACCGUAAGAAUAAGGAUCGGCUAACUCCGUGCCAGCAGCCGCGGUAAUACGGAGGAUCCAAGCGUUAUCCGGAUUCAUUGGGUUUAAAGGGUGCGUAGGCGGAAUGAUAAGUCAGUGGUGAAAGCCUGCAGCUUAACUGCAGAACUGCCAUUGAUACUGUCAAUCUUGAGUACAUUUGAUGUGGGCGGAAUGUGUCAUGUAGCGGUGAAAUGCUUAGAUAUGACACAGAACACCGAUUGCGAAGGCAGCUCACAAAACUGUAACUGACGCUGAGGCACGAAAGCGUGGGUAUCAAACAGGAUUAGAUACCCCUGUAGUCC